Molecule: ribosomal RNA, 273 nt
Filed under: uncultured bacterium
Lineage: Bacteria
Description: partial 16S ribosomal RNA
Rfam family: Bacterial small subunit ribosomal RNA
Source: RNAcentral
UACGGAGGGUGCAAGCGUUAUCCGGAUUCACUGGGUUUAAAGGGUGCGUAGGCGGGCAGGUAAGUCCGUGGUGAAAUCUCCGAGCUUAACUCGGAAACUGCCAUGGAUACUAUUUGUCUUGAAUACUGUGAAGGUGAGCGGAAUAUGUCAUGUAGCGGUGAAAUGCUUAGAUAUGACAUAGAACACCAAUUGCGAAGGCAGCUCACUGCGCAGUGAUUGACGCUGAGGCACGAAAGCGUGGGGAUCAAACAGGAUUAGAAACCCCCGUAGUCC